AGUUAUUUAACUAUAUAUUAUACUAUUCAUAGUAAAACAUUAUAUAUACACCUUUACUUUUAAAAUUACUUUCUCAUAUGUCAGAAAAAUUCUGUACUGUAAAUUGCUUUUCAAAAGUCAUAGAGCCAGUGAUAGCCAGUGUGUUUUAAUUCAAACUCUUGAAUUGUUUCUCUAAGUCAUGAUGCAAAUUAAUGAAAGUUAUUUCCUGUUGUAGUUAUUGUAUCACAAAUAAUGGGUUCACCAAUGAAGAACAUGUUCAAAGGUUUCAAGGGGCCACCUACUCCAAUCCCUGGGAAAUUCAAGACAUUGUCAGGACAAUCAGCCACCUGCAUUCCCUACCUCCAUCAUGCUGGGAUCAGCUUUAGUCAACCCUUCAGGUGACUUGAUUUGGUUAUAAGCUGUGGG
Long non-coding RNA from Pan paniscus (pygmy chimpanzee), 405 nucleotides. The record is from Ensembl. Lineage: Eukaryota; Metazoa; Chordata; Mammalia; Primates; Hominidae.